This 253-nucleotide ribosomal RNA is filed under the name uncultured bacterium. RNAcentral describes it as "partial 16S ribosomal RNA". It matches the Rfam family "Bacterial small subunit ribosomal RNA", at positions 524 to 776 of the family's 1533-position model. The record is from RNAcentral.
UACGGAGGGUGCAGGCGUUGUUCGGAUUUAUUGGGCGUAAAGCGCGUGUAGGCGGUUUCUUAAGUCUGAUGUGAAAGCCCUGGGCUCAACCCAGGAAGUGCAUUGGAUACUGGGAGACUUGAAUACGGGAGAGGGUAGUGGAAUUCCUAGUGUAGGAGUGAAAUCCGUAGAUAUUAGGAGGAACACCGGUGGCGAAGGCGGCUCACUGGCCCGUUACCGACGCUCAGGCGCGACAGCGUGGGGAGCAAACAGG